ACUCCUACGGGAGGCAGCAGUGGGGAAUAUUGCACAAUGGGCGCAAGCCUGAUGCAGCCAUGCCGCGUGUAUGAAGAAGGCCUUCGGGUUGUAAAGUACUUUCAGCGGGGAGGAAGGCAAUACGGUUAAUAACCGUGUUGAUUGACGUUACCCGCAGAAGAAGCACCGGCUAACUCCGUGCCAGCAGCCGCGGUAAUACGGAGGGUGCAAGCGUUAAUCGGAAUUACUGGGCGUAAAGCGCACGCAGGCGGUCUGUCAAGUCGGAUGUGAAAUCCCCGGGCUCAACCUGGGAACUGCAUUCGAAACUGGCAGGCUUGAGUCUUGUAGAGGGGGGUAGAAUUCCAGGUGUAGCGGUGAAAUGCGUAGAGAUCUGGAGGAAUACCGGUGGCGAAGGCGGCCCCCUGGACAAAGACUGACGCUCAGGUGCGAAAGCGUGGGGAGCAAACAGGAUUAGAAACCCUUGUAGUCCCAUG
RNAcentral lists this ribosomal RNA (473 nucleotides) under uncultured organism. RNAcentral describes it as "partial 16S ribosomal RNA". It matches the Rfam family "Bacterial small subunit ribosomal RNA", at positions 335 to 799 of the family's 1533-position model. The record is from RNAcentral.